Molecule: long non-coding RNA, 780 nt
Organism: Corvus hawaiiensis (hawaiian crow)
Lineage: Eukaryota; Metazoa; Chordata; Aves; Passeriformes; Corvidae
Exons: 3
Source: RefSeq, a predicted model, not a curated record
UAGUGGUACAACUGCCCCAAGAGAGUUUGUGUUACAGCAAGAGGACUGGAGGAACGCUCUCAUUCCAGACUGGAUUUUACCCUGUCAUUUGCAGGCAGAGAGUUGCAAGCAACUCACUUGAACUGUGAAUGAAGCUGCAAAUGCCAGAAUUUGGUCAGAAAAACCUGAACCUUUCAUUGUGCAAGUAACUCCCAAGAUUACAAAAGGAAAGUAAGCCCCACGGCCAGCCCAUCUGACGCAAGGAGAGUGACAUCCGGACAUGUUUAGAGAAUCAACACCUCCAACCCAGCUUCGUGCUGCCAGGAGCUUUUUCCUGUUUGGAUUCAAAUGUAAAGACACCUGGGAUCAAACGCAAAUGAUCUCUUUCGAUUUCAUCCACGGUGACGUCAGGUGAGAGGUUAUGGUGACAAAGGUAAUUUUGGCCAGGGAAACUGUCUACCUUCAUCCUUGAGCCUACACGUCUCUCCUCCACACCUCCUUUGACAAGGAAAUAGCAGUGCUGUGAUAGUAAAUCGUAAAACAUUGCAUUUGUAAGGAUCUGUUUCUGCUUUGAGGAACCCUAAAAUACCUAACAGACAUUUGCACAGUCCUGAUUGACUUCAGAUUGAGAGCAGCCAGCAAUAAUACAUCGCAGUAGGCAGCAAGCUAUAGGAACAUAAUUUCUGACAGAAGUAGUAAGGAGAGAUUGAUAAGGAAUAAGUUGCCUGGGCUAGUACAUAAAAUUUAACAUUACUGCUCACAUAUAUAUAUUUUUAUAUAUAUAUAUGUAUAUAUAUACAC